Molecule: ribosomal RNA, 3027 nt
Filed under: Salmonella enterica subsp. enterica serovar Typhimurium
Lineage: Bacteria; Pseudomonadati; Pseudomonadota; Gammaproteobacteria; Enterobacterales; Enterobacteriaceae
Description: 23S ribosomal RNA
Rfam family: Bacterial large subunit ribosomal RNA
Source: RNAcentral
GGGUUGUGAGGUUAAGCGACUAAGCGUACACGGUGGAUGCCCUGGCAGUCAGAGGCGAUGAAGGGCGUGCUAAUCUGCGAUAAGCGCCGGUAAGGUGAUAUGAACCGUUAUAACCGGCGAUACCCGAAUGGGGAAACCCAGUGUGACUCGUCACACUAUCAUUAACUGAAUCCAUAGGUUAAUGAGGCGAACCGGGGGAACUGAAACAUCUAAGUACCCCGAGGAAAAGAAAUCAACCGAGAUUCCCCCAGUAGCGGCGAGCGAACGGGGAGGAGCCCAGAGCCUGAAUCAGCAUGUGUGUUAGUGGAAGCGUCUGGAAAGGCGCGCGAUACAGGGUGACAGCCCCGUACACAAAAGCGCAUGUGCUGUGAGCUCGAUGAGUAGGGCGGGACACGUGGUAUCCUGUCUGAAUAUGGGGGGACCAUCCUCCAAGGCUAAAUACUCCUGACUGACCGAUAGUGAACCAGUACCGUGAGGGAAAGGCGAAAAGAACCCCGGCGAGGGGAGUGAAAAAGAACCUGAAACCGUGUACGUACAAGCAGUGGGAGCCCCACCACCAAAGCAUUCUCUGGUGUUGAAGGCCCUGCAAAGCAGCAUCGCGGUGGCGGAGCGUCGUUUGCGACGCCCAACACACAAAACAAGCGGUGAAUGCUUUGGGGUGGGGUGACUGCGUACCUUUUGUAUAAUGGGUCAGCGACUUAUAUUCUGUAGCAAGGUUAACCGAAUAGGGGAGCCGGAGGGAAACCGAGUCUUAAUUGGGCGUUAAGUUGCAGGGUAUAGACCCGAAACCCGGUGAUCUAGCCAUGGGCAGGUUGAAGGUUGGGUAACACUAACUGGAGGACCGAACCGACUAAUGUUGAAAAAUUAGCGGAUGACCUGUGGCUGGGGGUGAAAGGCCAAUCAAACCGGGAGAUAGCUGGUUCUCCCCGAAAGCUAUUUAGGUAGCGCCUCGUGAAUUCAUCUCCGGGGGUAGAGCACUGUUUCGGCUAGGGGGCCAUCCCGGCUUACCAACCCGAUGCAAACUGCGAAUACCGGAGAAUGUUAUCACGGGAGACACACGGCGGGUGCUAACGUCCGUCGUGAAGAGGGAAACAACCCAGACCGCCAGCUAAGGUCCCAAAGUCAUGGUUAAGUGGGAAACGAUGUGGGAAGGCCCAGACAGCCAGGAUGUUGGCUUAGAAGCAGCCAUCAUUUAAAGAAAGCGUAAUAGCUCACUGGUCGAGUCGGCCUGCGCGGAAGAUGUAACGGGGCUAAACCAUGCACCGAAGCUGCGGCAGCGACGCUGAUGCGUUGUUGGGUAGGGGAGCGUUCUGUAAGCCUGUGAAGGUGUGUCGUGAGGCAUGCUGGAGGUAUCAGAAGUGCGAAUGCUGACAUAAGUAACGAUAAAGCGGGUGAAAAGCCCGCUCGCCGGAAGACCAAGGGUUCCUGUCCAACGUUAAUCGGGGCAGGGUGAGUCGACCCCUAAGGCGAGGCCGAAAGGCGUAGUCGAUGGGAAACGGGUUAAUAUUCCCGUACUUGGUGUUACUGCGAAGGGGGGACGGAGAAGGCUAUGUUGGCCGGGCGACGGUUGUCCCGGUUUAAGCGUGUAGGUGUGUGUUCGGUAAAUCCGGUUCACUUUAACACUGAGGCGUGACGACGAGGCACUACGGUGCUGAAGCAACAAAUGCCCUGCUUCCAGGAAAAGCCUCUAAGCAUCAGGUAACACGAAAUCGUACCCCAAACCGACACAGGUGGUCAGGUAGAGAAUACCAAGGCGCUUGAGAGAACUCGGGUGAAGGAACUAGGCAAAAUGGUGCCGUAACUUCGGGAGAAGGCACGCUGACACGUAGGUGAAGUGAUUUACUCAUGGAGCUGAAGUCAGUCGAAGAUACCAGCUGGCUGCAACUGUUUAUUAAAAACACAGCACUGUGCAAACACGAAAGUGGACGUAUACGGUGUGACGCCUGCCCGGUGCCGGAAGGUUAAUUGAUGGGGUCAGCGCAAGCGAAGCUCCUGAUCGAAGCCCCGGUAAACGGCGGCCGUAACUAUAACGGUCCUAAGGUAGCGAAAUUCCUUGUCGGGUAAGUUCCGACCUGCACGAAUGGCGUAAUGAUGGCCAGGCUGUCUCCACCCGAGACUCAGUGAAAUUGAACUCGCUGUGAAGAUGCAGUGUACCCGCGGCAAGACGGAAAGACCCCGUGAACCUUUACUAUAGCUUGACACUGAACAUUGAGCCUUGAUGUGUAGGAUAGGUGGGAGGCUUUGAAGUGUGGACGCCAGUCUGCAUGGAGCCGACCUUGAAAUACCACCCUUUAAUGUUUGAUGUUCUAACGUGGACCCGUAAUCCGGGUUGCGGACAGUGUCUGGUGGGUAGUUUGACUGGGGCGGUCUCCUCCUAAAGAGUAACGGAGGAGCACGAAGGUUGGCUAAUCCUGGUCGGACAUCAGGAGGUUAGUGCAAUGGCAUAAGCCAGCUUGACUGCGAGCGUGACGGCGCGAGCAGGUGCGAAAGCAGGUCAUAGUGAUCCGGUGGUUCUGAAUGGAAGGGCCAUCGCUCAACGGAUAAAAGGUACUCCGGGGAUAACAGGCUGAUACCGCCCAAGAGUUCAUAUCGACGGCGGUGUUUGGCACCUCGAUGUCGGCUCAUCACAUCCUGGGGCUGAAGUAGGUCCCAAGGGUAUGGCUGUUCGCCAUUUAAAGUGGUACGCGAGCUGGGUUUAGAACGUCGUGAGACAGUUCGGUCCCUAUCUGCCGUGGGCGCUGGAGAACUGAGGGGGGCUGCUCCUAGUACGAGAGGACCGGAGUGGACGCAUCACUGGUGUUCGGGUUGUCAUGCCAAUGGCACUGCCCGGUAGCUAAAUGCGGAAGAGAUAAGUGCUGAAAGCAUCUAAGCACGAAACUUGCCCCGAGAUGAGUUCUCCCUGAGACUUUAGGUCUCCUGAAGGAACGUUGAAGACGACGACGUUGAUAGGCCGGGUGUGUAAGCGCAGCGAUGCGUUGAGCUAACCGGUACUAAUGAACCGUGAGGCUUAACCUUACAACGCCGAAG